GGCUAACGCUGGCGGCGUGUCUUAGCCAUGCAAGUCGAGCGGACUUAUGGGGUAACUUAUAAGUCAGCGGCGGACGGCGGAGUAACACGUAGCUAACCUACCCUCUGGACGGGGAUAACCUACCGAAGGGUGGGCUAAUACCCGAUGUAGUCAUCCUGUAUAGGGGUGAUGAAAGGUGGGCUUCUGUUUACAAGCUCAUGCUGGAGGAGGGGGCUGCGGCCUAUCAGGUAGUUGGUAGGGUAAUAGCCUACCAAGCCGAUGACGGGUAGCCGGCCUGAGAGGGUGACCGGCCCGAGGGGCACUGAGAUACGGGUCCCACUCCUACGGGAGGCAGCAGGCUAGAAAUUUGGGCAAUGGGGGAAACCCUGACCCAGUGACGCCGCGUGCAGGAAGGAGCCCUUCGGGGUGUAAACUGCUGUCGUGUAGGGAGAAGGGUACUAAGGUGAACAAUCUUAGUACUUGACGGUACUACAGGAGGAAGCCCAGGCUAACCUCGUG
Molecule: ribosomal RNA, 498 nt
Filed under: uncultured bacterium
Lineage: Bacteria
Description: bacterial SSU rRNA
Rfam family: Bacterial small subunit ribosomal RNA
Source: RNAcentral